CAAAAUUCCUGUCUUUAUUUCAUCUGUGCUCACUUUAGUCCAAGUGCAAGGGUUCUCAGAAGGUGAUCUCUUUAACUGGGCUGUAAAGUUUAGCAGUAGGGAAAAAAAGCAGAAUAACAUCUCUUGUUUGCAAGGAGAGAUGUGAGGGAUCAGUCCUGCAGCUGCGAUACCUCUCCAUCCAGUGGCAGGUUCAAUUUGAGACAUGUUUGUAGGUGGAAUGGGCAAAAGGGCUGACACCUUCUGUCCAUGAAAUCUGAGUAAAUGCACUGUCCCUUUUGCAGUCUGCGAGGUUUCAAGGCCCCCCUGAUGCAGCAGUGCCUCUGCUAUGCCGUAUCAGGAAGAUGUUUAUCUAUUAUGGUUUCAGGACACGAGCAGAUGAUGCAUCCAGGUCCAAGUUUCAAGCCUGAGCAGGACUGGAAGCCGUAUAUGGUCCUGAGCUGCUCACUGUGGGGCAGAGAAGUCUGAGCUUCACUUUUGUUCAUCGCCAAAUUGCAGCCUGAGAGGAAGCUGGGUUGGGCUGGAUUCCUCAAAGAGGAGUGACUUUCAUGUACAUAACACACGUUUUCAACAGACCUGCCCUUGGGGUUGGACCAGAGCUACCUUCCACGAAAAGCCCCUGGAAAACUCACUGUGGCUCAGCAGGGAAUGACCAAAUCCUCCUGAUGAAGAGGGAGAACACUCUUGGCAAGGCUGUUGCUUGUGUCAGGUUCUGGACUCUCCACCCAUUGCCUGUAACCAUCUUUACAAAAGAAGGUCCUGCCUCAGGGGGCAUUUCUGUGCACUGAGAGGCAUGUGUGGGUUGUCAUGGAGCAUGAAGAGUAAUGGGACUGCUUCCUGCACCUUCCACUGGCCAGGACCACCAGCUGAGCCUGGUGGUGCUCCAGCCCUCCUGGGCACCUCAGGGGAGACCUGACUGACUGGUUCUGCCAAUAUUGCUGCUCUCUGGGAAAAAGCCCUUUUGACAAAAACAUUGUUUAUUGUUUUAUUCACAAAAUCAUACCAAUCUUCAAAGAUAUUCCAUGAAAGCAUUUGGUUUUUAAAUUAAAAAAAUAUAUAUUUAAAGAAAAAAAAAGAAAUUUAAGUUCAAACUAUCUGUAUGUUGGUUUGGCUUCUCAUAAUCCAGCCAAAUAAAAGACUUUGUAUUGCUAUUUAUAUAUUAUUU
Molecule: long non-coding RNA, 1162 nt
Filed under: Serinus canaria (Common canary)
Lineage: Eukaryota; Metazoa; Chordata; Aves; Passeriformes; Fringillidae
Description: lncRNA (ENSSCAG00000002840.1)
Source: RNAcentral